Mirounga angustirostris (Northern elephant seal) is the source of this 1141-nucleotide long non-coding RNA. RefSeq lists it as uncharacterized. The transcript is spliced from 4 exons. NCBI's taxonomy places the organism in Eukaryota, Metazoa, Chordata, Mammalia, Carnivora, Phocidae. The record is from RefSeq and is a predicted model, not a curated record.
CAAUGGCGUUUAAUUCUAGGAGCUGAUAGGCUGGAAGCUUGAGCGUCCUGGGGACCUUCUUUCCCAUGAGAAGGAAGAUACGGAGGAAAACAGAUGGAGAAACUUGAGAUUCAGAGCGGUUACUUCGUAGACAAGUCAGCAUUUAAAGGUUUUAACAGAUCCUGUUAAUACUAACAGCCAAGGUUCACUGAGCACUUGCCGUAUUCCGGGAACUACGCUAAGGGCUUUAGGAAUCAUUACCUCAGUAAAUUCUCAAAAACAAAGUGAAAUACAAAGCCCAGAUGUGGGUUUCAGAGAGAAGAAAGGAUAGGCUCUACUCUUGGGAGGCCAUGGGCUCAAAGACCGGAGGGUCUCUGACUUGGAUCUGCCCCCCUCAAGGGGUUCCGCAUUCUCUGAUGAAAUUAGAAAUGUUUUCCCACAGAAGACCUCGCCAGGAAGUGUGUUAGGGACUGGCUGGUGGCUACAAAGAAUACAAGAGCCAUCAUCGACCGAGCUUGAGAGAAACAAGACUCUUCAAUCACCCCUUGUGACUUAAGUUUGGGUCAACAAACAUGGAUUGAGUGCCUGCUGUAUACCAAGACACCAUGCCAGACAGUGGAGAUACGGUGUCCAAGAUCUGGUAGAAUCAAUCAAAAUACUCCUUGGAUCAGACACAUUCAUACACUACUGGUGGGAAUAUAAAUUUUUGCAACCUUCCUGGAGUGCAAUGUAACAAUGUCUAUCAAAAGAUUUAAGAGAUGUGCAUGCCCGUUCACCCAGCAAUUAGACUUCUAAUCAUUUAUGAUAAGACGAUAAUCACUUACGUGUUUGAAGAUUUAGCUACAGCUGUGUUCUUUGCAACGUUAUUUGUAAAAGCAAAGGAAAAUAAAACCUUGAAAAACCUAAUUGUCAAUGACAAGGAAUUACAUAAAUUAAUGAUGGCAUAUCCUUCGAAUAAAAUCAUUUAAAAGCAUAUCUGAGAAGAGUAUGUAUUGAAUGGCAAAAAGUCUAUGAUAUAUUGUUAAGUGAAAGAAACCAAAUAGGAUAGUAGAUAGUAUGAUCUCAGUUUUAUGGGGGGGGAAAAUAUAUAUAUAUAGCACCACUCUGAGGAGAUGAGAAUGAGGAUGAGGGUUAUUUUUACAUUCUUUUCUGAGCUUUUUCU